This 60-nucleotide transfer RNA is filed under the name Melomys burtoni (grassland melomys). RNAcentral's name for it is "tRNA-Ser". The record is from RNAcentral. Lineage: Eukaryota; Metazoa; Chordata; Mammalia; Rodentia; Muridae.
AAGAAAGAACGCAAGAACUGCUAAUUCAUGCUCCCAUGCCUAAAACACAUGGCUUUCUUA